Molecule: long non-coding RNA, 3635 nt
Organism: Neofelis nebulosa (Clouded leopard)
Lineage: Eukaryota; Metazoa; Chordata; Mammalia; Carnivora; Felidae
Exons: 3
Source: RefSeq, a predicted model, not a curated record
AUGUAGACAUUGUUUAAAACUUUUUUUAACAUGAUAAAUAAAUGUAUGCAGCAUUUGCUUUGCUAAAUUAUAAAUUCCUUGAGAGAAGAAGCUCUUUCCACAUGCCUGGAUUAAGACACGAUAGAAACUGGGUUGUAAUGGAAAGAAGAAAUUAACAUCACCUCAACCUAGAUUCAAGUCUUGCUUCCUUUAAUUAUUGUUUCAUACUUCCUAGCAGUGUGAAUUUGGAUCAUUUAGGUAAGCUUUUAGAACCUCAGCUUGUCCUUCCUAAGAUGAAAUAAUUAUAUCUACAUCAUAGGAUUGUGAUGGAAAUGGAAUGAAACCAUGUAUAUAAGACCUAAAACAAUGCCUAGAAUGUAAGAAAUGCUCAAUAAAUAGUAACAGUCAGUAGGGAACAUAACAUAUUUAUAGAAUAAAAUAGUGAAAGAACCCAGGUUAUUGGAUGGCAUUCUACCUGAUUACAUACCUGUGAAAGUAGACCUACACUUUUAUAAUCAUAAUUAAAGACUUUGCUUGGCAAGAUCUUUAUCUCAACGUUUCCAGAAAUACUCCAGCAAGAAACCCAAUCAUUCUGUAUAUAGUGAUAAAUACACCAGAUUUUCCAAGACCAUUCUCUUGAUAUAAAAUAUUCUGUUAGGACUGCCACACAAAUAUUCUUGUACUUUUUAAAAGACUGAGCAUUCGUUUAGAUUUUAUAUCCUAUUUUUUUCCCCUCAGAAAUGUGGUAAUUGCAUUUUUCAUCUGGAAAUUGAGGGUUUUGUGCCACCUCUAAAUUUAUUUUGGUCUCUGAGCAUACAUGGUUCUGAUAAUCACAGCAAAUAUAGAUUAAUAUUAAGAGCUACUUGACUUUGUUCUGAGUCACCUCUUCAUUCAUUGUAGGCUCUUUCUACAUUGGAAAAGCUUUGAGGAGAUUGUUAAUUGACCUUAUUUUCAAAUGAUGGGAGCUGGUGGGAGGGGUGCAGUGAUGAAUCAGGAGUUUAGUUAUUAUUGGCUGAUUUAAAUAAAGUGGCUGAACAUGUAUCUUUAAGGGACACUUUCAUAAAAGAUCAGUUUCUCUUUUGUUAAGCUCUGUUUCCUUUAUGUCUUCAGCAAUAGAAAAUAAGAUGUAAGUUGGUGCAAACAUGUUUCCCAGCCAUACCUGGACACAACCAAUAGCAACAAGGAAGCCUAAAUAAGUGACUUAUAUCCCUGUAUAUGGCAGUGUAUCUUGACAGACAGGAUUUUUUUUUUUCUUCACUUGCUGGAGGGCACAUAUCAGGCAGGAGCUUAGUUUUGCCGUCUGCUAGCUUUAUAUGGUGAGCACAGAGAUGCCAGGAAAUGCCCAGUGGUUGGCAAAGAGGAGUAUGAAACUAGUAUAGGGCAACACUAAAACUCUUUGUCCCUUUCUAAAAGAAGCACUCUGGGCAUUUGAAGUUUCUUUUAUAAAUGGCAUCAUGGACAUGUUAUGUCUAAUACCGAGAUUAAGUAAAUAGAAGUCUACUCAAGUUUAAGGAAGUUUGCUUCUGUAUGUGUCCUUCCAGGUUACUUUGUACGGGCAGUAACUACUAGCAAUUCACGACGCACUUGUUUUCUAUAAUCUUGGCAGAAUUCACCCGGAUUUUACUUUUCUACAGUUUACAAAGUAUCAAAACUCGGUGUUGAUUUAUCACGCAGAGAUUUCCAAAAAGGGAAUAGACACAUAUUUUCUCCGUACGAGUAUACAGUGAUUCUAUUCUAUUUUUGCCUCUUUCCAGCUUUGAAAAUGCUCGAACGGUGUUAUAUUUGAACUAGAAAAAAAAGAGUCUUGUAUUUCACUUAACUAGCUGGCUUUAAUUAGACAGCCUCCUGGGAUCUGAACCCCAGCGAUUUUUGUUGUUGUUAAGAAUGGCAGUAAAAGGCUAACCCAGACGUCCCAGGUCACAUGAGAGAGGGCAGACUGGGGAGCCUUCAUUCAAAUAACUCAAAGGUACAUUUGUUGACUUUUGGCUUUCUAGAGUUUCUAGCUUACAAAAUUCUGUUUCCUUGGUAUAGGCUGGUUGUCUAAAAUGAGGCUACAACAUGAUACACUGAGACAGUACUGCCUUUGGUGGAUACGCUGAGCAGAAAGUCCAUGUAAAGCAAUUUGAGUCUGAUAAUCAUUACUCUCUACACGGAUGAGAAAGAAAAACAACCUUGGAGAUUCUUGGCCUGCUGUGGCUCAGAGACAGCCUGACUCAACAUUUAUAAACACAGCUAUACUUGGGGAUGUGCUUGGCAAGGCUGAAAAACAGGGAACGCAAGCCCUACUAUUCCUUGAAGUUUUAAAAUGGAGAACUAUUGAAAACAUAGUAGAACAUGGAGAAUCCCAGGACCACUGAGCUUCUGGCUGUAUUGGCAGAUCUAAAGAAUGAUGGAACUAAAAACAAUGAAGUGGAAAGGAUAUUUUGAUUUCACUAUAAAACACUAAAAGAAUUGAACUUUAAAAUAUCCUAACUGUGCAAAUGGAGACACCUGUUUGUGAAAAUGAAGUGAAGACAAAAACCAGCCCCUGAUGAUGGUUAGAAGGUACCUUAGUUGGUUAGAGCCACUGUUGGUUUUAAGUCUUAGGUAAAGGAGAAAGAAACUGGAGAAAAAUAAGUUUUAAUGCCUCUAAGGCUAUAUAACCCAAGAGGCUAAAAACCAUGGUGGAGGGGCUGUCUGUAAAAGGAAGAGAGUGGAUGGCCCAUUACAGGCUUUAUAGCUAUCUCUUCUGACCAUUGUGAUGUCUACCCACACAUGUCGACUGUGAUGAUAAACAUCAGCCUCAUCAUGAGUAAAUGAAACUUUGAAGCAAAAAAGAAUUUUUUUUUCUUAAUUCUUCCUUUCCCCCUUCAGAAUAGAGGUUUUUUUUGUUUUGUUUUUGUUUUUGUUUAUGAGUGUUUGGUGUGGUGCCAGUUGUAAGACAGAUAGCCAGAAGUAUUGCAGGACAUUGAUACCAGGGUGAGGAAUGAAUUAAAGAAAACUGUAUAAACUUAGAAAUCUUGCCUAGGAAAAGUUUAGAUGAUACUAUUCGGUGUUCUUGGCUAGCCAGCAUUUUCCUAACAGUUGGUGCCAUACACCUGUUCCUCUCAUAAAAAGUCAUAAUUAAUUUUUUUCUUCAGCCUUUUAAACAAAUACUUCUAAAACAAAUAUGUAAAAAGAUUUCUCUUAGUCACAGCUUAAAAAAUUUGAUGAAGACUAUUGACUCUUAAGUGUACAAAUUCAUGCCUACAUAAAAUUCUGCAUAAACUUUGGGGAUUGUGGAUACCAUAAUCUAACAAUCUGAUUUUUCAACUUGUUCGAUUAAUCUAACAAGUUAAGAAAUUCCAACCCUGGAUAAAAAGACAGUUUUCCUUAUCCUAUUUUUAUUUAAUACGAUUGCUGUUGUUGUUGUUUAAACACACUUGUUUUGAAAGUGAUACUUUUUUACUGUCUCUGUGGGGUUUUUUUUAAUGUUUUAUUUAUUUUUGAGGGAGCGCAAGUCAGGGAGGGGCAGAGAGAGGGGACAGAGGAUCUGAAGUGGGCUCUGUGCCGACAACAGAGAGCCUGAUGUGGGGCUUGAACUUAUGAACUACAAGAUCAUGACCUGAGCCGAAGUUGGACGCUCAACCAACUGAGCCACCCAGAUGCCCCCUUUACUGUAUACAGUUUUAAAAUCU